RNAcentral lists this transfer RNA (77 nucleotides) under Ochromonas sp. RCC21. Lineage: Eukaryota; Chrysophyceae; Chromulinales; Chromulinaceae. The record is from RNAcentral.
AUAUGUGGCCGAGUGGUCUAAGGCGUUGGACUUAAGAUCCAUUGUAUAUAUGUACGCGCAAGUUUGAACCCUUUCAU